UGGGGGAUAUUGCACAAUGGGCGAAAGCCUGAUGCAGCGACGCCGCGUGGGGGAUGAAGGCUUUCGGGUUGUAAACCUCUUUCGCUAUCGAACAAGGCCCGCUUAGGGUGGGUUGAGGGUAGGUGGAGAAGAAGCGCCGGCUAACUACGUGCCAGCAGCCGCGGUAAUACGUAGGGCGCGAGCGUUGUCCGGAAUUAUUGGGCGUAAAGGGCUUGUAGGCGGCUUGUUGCGCCUGCUGUGAAAACGCGGGGCUUAACUUCGCGCGUGCAGUGGGUACGGGCAGGCUUGAGUGUGGUACGGGUGACUGGAAUUCCAGGUGUAGCGGUGGAAUGCGCAGAUAUCUGGAGGAACACCGAUGGCGAAGGCAGGUCACUGGGCCAUUACUGACGCUGAGGAGCGAAAGCAUGGGUAGCGAACAGG
This 420-nucleotide ribosomal RNA is filed under the name bacterium. Its description in RNAcentral is "partial 16S ribosomal RNA". It matches the Rfam family "Bacterial small subunit ribosomal RNA", at positions 355 to 776 of the family's 1533-position model. The record is from RNAcentral.